This 492-nucleotide ribosomal RNA is filed under the name uncultured bacterium. RNAcentral's name for it is "partial 16S ribosomal RNA". It matches the Rfam family "Bacterial small subunit ribosomal RNA", at positions 29 to 507 of the family's 1533-position model. The record is from RNAcentral.
AGUGAACGCUGGCGGUAGGCCUAACACAUGCAAGUCGAACGGCGGCACAGUAAGAGCUUGCUCUUACGGGUGGCGAGUGGCGGACGGGUGAGGAAUACAUCGGAAUCUACUUUUUCGUGGGGGAUAACGUAGGGAAACUUACGCUAAUACCGCAUACGACCUACGGGUGGAAGCAGGGGAUCUUCGGACCUUGCGCGAUUGAAUGAGCCGAUGUCGGAUUAGCUAGUUGGCGGGGUAAAGGCCCACCAAGGCGACGAUCCGUAGCUGGUCUGAGAGGAUGAUCAGCCACACUGGAACUGAGACACGGUCCAGACUCCUACGGGAGGCAGCAGUGGGGAAUAUUGGACAAUGGGCGCAAGCCUGAUCCAGCCAUACCGCGUGGGUGAAGAAGGCCUUCGGGUUGUAAAGCCCUUUUGUUGGGAAAGAAAAGCAGCAGGUUAAUACCCCGCUGUUCUGACGGUACCCAAAGAAUAAGCACCGGCUAACUUCGUG